GUCUCCAAGGCAUGUCCAAGCAUAGCUUCAUGCACAUCACUGUGCACCUAUACAUAUAAGGCGGACACAGUAUAUGGUGUAUGUGCCGAUAACGGAUGCUGGUGCGUAGUCUGCGUGAUACCACCUGCAGCUCAAUCUGCGUCUGCAGCCCAGAUUGCGCCUGCGGGGAAUUAAAGGAUAUCGCUUGCUUCCCUUUCUGCCUAAAUAGAAUAAAACAAUGUCUAAUUAAUGUAUUUUUCUCGUACCGACAACAUUGUAUCGGUGUAAGGACCUGCGAGGCAAAAUAACAUCCUAUUAAUAUUGAGCGCUCUUUGGCGAAAUGCAUGAUUAAUCAAUUGGACACUAUAGAGGAUGUAUAAAUAUCCUUUCAUUGCGAGUGGCCAUGAAAAUACGUUUGUGGUUUUUUUUUCUCCAUGUUGAGAACAUUACCAAACCAUUGGAACCGGUCCUCCAUGCAAGUUGCAUGUGGAUGGGAGAUUCACAGCCAAGAUAGUGAAUAACCAGCUCCAUAAGCAACCUUGUUCUGAUCUCGUCAAAACUAUCAAACCCAUCACUUCACACCAUAAACCUGGCAAGCCGGUUCAAAUCUGGUCGAGAAGAAGCCCUUGGGUCCUCGGUGGUCGUCUGAAAGGCAACUUGAAUCACAAAGGGAGUGUCCCUGACGGACCUGCAGGGUCUGAAGUGACGAUCAUCAGCAUGGCGGAUCGAUCAUGAGAUGAAUGCUAAAGCGGCAAGCUAACAUUUGGCAAACGUUGGGUGAAGACAACUGAUGAAAAGUACCCACACGGAUAAUCCAUGCUAACCGAGGCCAGCAGCCGCAUGCAUGGCCAGCACGAGACCUUGGUGCACUAGUAGAAAAAGGUCCAUUUGUCCCGGUUCCAGAGGCCCUUCUGUCCUGGUUUUGGACCCGGGACUAAAGCCCAUGACCUUUAGUCCCAAUUCUCUUACGAACCGGGACAGAUGGGCCUCCAUGUGGCCUCUCCGCCGAGCCCGGGCAGGAGGGCCUUUGUUCCCGGUUCGUAACCCCAACCGGGACCAAAAAGUGUCCACGCGUCAGCAGCUCAGGAGCUGGGGCUUUUGUUUUUUUUUUGAAGGGGGGAGGUUGGGGGUUCUGGAGUCGUUAAUUGGGCCAGACAGCCCAUCUAAGGAAGCCACAGGAGACGGUCGACGGAGCCCAGUCGCGCGAGUGGAUCGAGCACCAAGAUCCCUACCGAGGCGAGCGAGGAGGAGCGCGAGAAUUGAACACGACGCCCUUCAUCCGAGGUUGCAAGGGAAGCUGAUCCAGCCGACGAGGGAAUCCAGCGGACAUGCCGGAUGCGGAUGAAUCAGAGGCCCAGUCGAUCCGUCUAUGAAGUGGGAAGGGGGACGCGGGCGAUGAUGUUCGGCAACCCAUCUGUUGGGAACUGAUCGCAAUCGUACUUUAGUUUCUAAGAUCACAUUCAUGGCGAUUGUUGUGCCCAUCCUUUCCGCUGUCGAGUGGUACUUCUAUAUUUUUCCUCCCAUAACAAUCCUCGGUCACCCUCUCUACUCUGACAUCACAAGCAUCUUUCAGCAUCAUGCUCUGGUAUUACUUAUGCAUGAUUCGUGAAGAUUUGUCAUUGAGGUUUACAAUCGUUCAUUAUUAUACUUGUUCUUUUAGAUUUAUCAUUGUGCCCUACAUGAGUCUCUGUCAAAAUUUGCAUGUGUUAAUUCUGUAUGUAUGCAAUUUGAUAUUUUAAAAUACUAACAUUUGUCCACUUUGUCCUAAAGUAGUUUUUGCUGCCUGGAGGUGAGCAAAGCGAAGGUAUCCCAUUAUCAUGAUUCAGAGGACUCAUGUUAUUCUCUUUAUUGUUAGUGCAACCGACUCCGGUUUAUAUCUCUUCUUGGAAUAAAAAAAUGCAUAUAUGGACCUGACUUCUUAUGUAGCUAUGUUCAAUCAACACAUCAGCAUGUUUUUGUUGGGCUGCAGACAUCCCCGUUCUGCGAUAGGUGCUACAUAGGGAAUUAGGAUUUUACAAAAUUUGCAUACAGAAAUCUUCGGAAUUAAAACAUGUAAAUGUGGACAAGUAUGAAAGAAUACAAAAGACAACAUUUUUAUUUUCAAGUUAUAAAGUGGAAUCCAUAGAUUACAAAGGAAUGUUAUCUCCUAAAAGUGAAUAAUAACAAGACAUCCGUUCAUUCAAAUUUGUGAAUAUUUCUCAAGAUGGGUAAGAUUGACUUUCUCAGAUAGAGUGCGGUAUUGUGACGGUCCCUUUGACUACAUACAUGUUUGUCUCUUUGUUGUGAACAAGCAAGACCUGGAAGAACCAACCUAUUUGUUUAAAUUUCGAAAUCUUGGUGAUGUUGUUUUUCCUUCUUUGCGUAUACUUCUCCUAUUGUUUUGGCGACAUACACUUCAUUGCUAAUCUGCCUUUCAAUGACUAUAUCCUUUUUGGCUGAUAGUCCUCUUAAACCUUUAAAUCAGUUUUUUUAACUGGUGCUCAAUAUAAUGGAUUGUAAUGGUAAGCUGCUUAAUAUAAGAGCUUGGUAACUUGACUUUACGAAUUUAUCGUCCCUUUUUUGAAAUAUUUACUGUCAAUUCUGAGGUGGUGGGCAGCCUAGUGGAGGCUUAGGUAUGUUGAUGGUCCAUCUCCCUUGAUUCCAUUAUUUACAUCCUCUCGACCGCUAGCUCUCACUAGCUACCUGCAGGCACAUAUUUCGCCUAGCCACGCCACACAUGGUGCUCGAGAACUGAUGCUGGUGAGCAUAUCGUUGUGUACAUUCUACUCAUGGGUAAGAUUUUUUAGUUGAAUACAGUUUUGCAAACAGAUUACUUAUGUAUGUUUCUUAGAAAACAUUGCUCCUUGAAUAAUACCCCAUGAUACUUAAACAAGCUCUAUGUCGUUUUUACUAGAUCAGUUUGGUGGUGAUUUAUAUUGAGGAUUUGAUCAUUACUCAUGCAUGCUAAAAGAUUUAUCUGACAUCCAAUUUUGUUCAGGUACAUUUCAUUCUUUUGUACAUUGAAAACUAUUGUUGGUAUAUUUGAUAGCUAGACUGUGCACAUAAGUGUAGAGGCCAUUAGUUAUGUUUUUCAAGCUAUGUUGGUAUCUGUUUGAAGAUUAAUUCCAAUCUGAUAUGUUCCAUUGUCAUCUGACAUUUAAUAGUAAAAUAUACUAUUGAAAAUUAGUUAAAUAUACAUUGAAUAGUUCAAAUAAAGAAAUGCCAUGUCAGAUAAGUUAAGGUGACUACAUAUUUGUCAAUGGCUUUCUCAAAGGUAGGUUUCAAAUCAGAUGUCAUUCAAAACUCAUCCUUGAAUUACCUUUAUACUUGAUUAACUGGACUACAUCACGGAGUUGUCGUCUUUGAAGUUUGAUGAAAUAAGGCCCAUGGUUGUUUUCCACUCUUAAAUUGCCUUUAGUUUGAAAUAAGGCCCAUGGUUGUUUGCUUUCCACUCUUAAAUUGCCUUUUUGACAGCUACAAAAAACUAUACUGAUAGGAGUUUUGAUUUCCCUUCUUCCUGUACUUUUUCGAUAUCACAAAGAAUUGUUCACGCCUUAUUUGUCCAUUUCGUGUUGACAUUUCAACUUGACAAUUACGAGAGCAGCAUGAUUUUAUUUAUGAUUAUUGCUGUUGUAGAGGUGUUAAAUAUAUAAAGUAUGAAAGUCGUAAUUUCAUGAAAGUACUUUGUAAUAUCAGCUUCCUUUGCCUGAUUGAUGUUGCUUUACAGUCUUAUUUGUCAGCAUUUUGUUCAGCGAGUUAAUGCUUUUUCCAUGCUGUGAGGUCAUAUAUGUUGCAGUCACAAAGCACCAAUGAUUUUUCCAUAGACACAAAAGCAAUGCUCCGGCUAUAGCAUUAAUUACACACACUCGUAUUUCCUAGGCUGCUGUAUAAAUAUGUACAAAAGGAUUGCUAUAUCAAAUACACGUCUAUGAUCAGUGCGUAUUAUCUUCCUUCUGACAAUGCUUACCAUGCUUAUAGUAAUCUACAUGGGUCUGGUUCCUUUUAAUAUCAAUAUUUGUCAUCAGAUUCUGAUAUACAUUGUUUCAGUCCAAAAUGUACAGGGUGCACAUUUUCUACAUUUAAUUUCGACUAAGACUUUCUUUUCUUGGUGGUAUGAUCACUUAUUAGUAAUUUGAUGGUUAUCUAUAUAUGUUGAAUUUUCAUAGCAUUUUAACCUCCCAUAUCAAUAUAUUUUCAUAAUAUAAAUUGUUCAAUUUCAUUUCCAAUGUAUUUUACUCAUAUAUUUUUAUUAUUUCAUAAUAUGAAUGGUAUGACAAAUAUAUGAUUGAGUCUUUUGCAAAAAAAAAAUCUUGACUCGUGUAUUUUUAAAAAUUCCUUUCAUUCUUUUCAAAAUAGACGGGCGCGAAAACGCGUGCCAUCAAUGAUCUAGUCAUAAGUGAUGUCCCGACCAGAUUCUUUCAACGUCAAUGAUUUUACUUUUUGGCAAGAUACUUUGGAGGUACGUAAAGCUAUAGAUCAGCGAUGGAUCAACGUUGAGGUCAGGUAAAGAGGCGAUUUGUCCACUUCUUCUAGGGUGGCCGCUACGGUGGUGCCGGAGUUGAGUGACGGGCAUUGGUAUCUUGCUCAAGGGUUUCUUCAGCCGAGAUUGUAAUUUUCUAUCUCGACUAGCUAAUGGUAGUUUUUGCAAUAGCUAGGGUUGUCGUAUCUUUUUUGGUUCUGUCAAGUUGGUUUUUUAGUGGAUCGUAAUUUGAUAUUUAUUUUAUAAAUGAGACACACAUUACAUCGAGAAAAAAAAUCAAGGCUACAGAUCAACAUGACCUCGUGUGUCCCGCAUGACCGCCCAGGACCUGUGUAGUGCGUACGCCGGAUCGUAGGCUCAUACACGAUAUUAGAGCAACUCUAGCAGACCCCACAUCCCGUCCUGAUUCGCAAAAUAACCGCCAAAGUGCGGGUCGGGGCGCGAAAAACGUCCCGAUCAGACCCCGCAUCCCGCCUCGGCCUGCAAAUGUUUUUUGCGGGGCGCGACAAAACAUCUCCCCCAACCUCUAGAUUCACGGGCUAGAGGGACGACCCGAGCUCAGCCCCUAUCCGCAGCGAGAUUUGGCGGGAGGGAUAUUUNNNNNNNNNNNNNNNNNNNNNNNNNNNNNNNNNNNNNNNNNNNNNNNNNNNNNNNNNNNNNNNNNNNNNNNNNNNNNNNNNNNNNNNNNNNNNNNNNNNNNNNNNNNNNNNNNNNNNNNNNNNNNNNNNNNNNNNNNNNNNNNNNNNNNNNNNNNNNNNNNNNNNNNNNNNNNNNNNNNNNNNNNNNNNNNNNNNNNNNNNNNNNCCACCGCACGCUCCCUAGCAGUCCUUCGCCGCCAUGGAUGACUCCCUGCUGUCCCACGUCACCGUCGAGGUCGCUGGCGCUCCUUCUCCUCGGGCGGAUCUCGUCGCCGGCCCAAUUGGCCCCGCUGUUGCCCAAGGUCAAGUCGCGCCUGCCCGCAAGCGGCAGGGCAACGUGGUCGUGCAGGGCAGCGCUACGGCAGCCCUCGCUGCGAGGUCCCGCGCUCCGGGCACCAAUGCUGUUGCGCGAUCUCGGCCGGCGGCGGAGAAGGUCGCCAAGGUCGCCGGCGUCAAGAGGAAGAAGAUUCCGGCCACAAAGAAGCCACCUCCUUCAUCCGCUCACUCCGGCUCGGAAAGAGGUGCCCCGACGAUGCCGCUCAACGGUGCUGCUCCCCCCGCAAGCGAGGUGUUUGACAAAAUGGCCGGAAGGUAUGUGUAUUCGGUCAUGGCAAUUUUCUUUGCUUUUCGCCAUUUUGCAAUAGCUCGUGACUUGUUGUGCUUCACUAUAGCGGUGGUUCGAACAAUGCAACUGCUGAGUUCAUGAACUUGUUGGACACCAACGCCGUUGACAUUGAUCAAGUCCCGUUUGAAGCAUUCGACUACAAUGAAACAGAGGCCGGCGUGGACGAUCAUGGUUUUUAGGACGAUUUAGAGGAGAUCGAAGCGGAAGCAUAUGAGCAAUCGCAAACAAAAACUGGGAAAAGCCAGAGAUUGAAGAAGUACAUGAUCUUGGAAGAUCAAGUUCUCCUGAAUGCAAGGAGUGCGGUGUCUCUUGAUGCAUGCACGGGUACUUGUCAAACCGCCAAGAGGUAUUGGCAAUGGAUCGAAGAUCAAUACUUCCGCAUGAUGGCAAAGUACCCCAAUAGGACUCCACGCACAUUUCGGUCUCUUCAAGGUCGUUGGGAGAAUAUCAAUCCUAUGUGCAGCCGUUGGGCAGCUUGCUUGGAGAGCAAGUAUGCAAUGCACCUCCAAGUGGAGCCGUGGAAUCCGACUAUGUGAGUAUGUUUUGCCUUUGUUCAACUUGUGCAUCAUCAUAUUACAUCAUAUAAAAUGAUUGCAUCAUUUCACUUUGUUCACAUUGUGUAGAAAAAAAUUGCCCAACAUAGAGACAAAUACAUGGAAGCUUCGGAAUGCAAAUUCUUCAAACUAGAGCAUUGUUGGGAGUUGCUCCAAAAGUGCGAUAACUGGAAGUUGAUCGAGAAAGAAACCCCAUAGAAGAGAGGCUCACUUACAAACAUGGAUGAUGAUGAGGACGAUGAUGGCCCAAGAAAUUUGAACAUGCCCGAUGGCGACAAGAAGACUAAGGAGAAGAUGAAGAGAGAGCAUGAAGCAUCGAGCUUGAGGGAGAAGAUUGAUGCCAUGGUGUAAUCAAAUGAGUUGAUGUUGUUGAAGUCGUUGGAGAUCAAGAAAGAGUUGGCUGAGAAGAAGGCAAAGGAGAAGCAAGAAAAGUGGCAAUUGCUCAGGGAAGAGGGGCUGCACAAAGCGGCCAUUGAGGAUAGAAGAGCACAUGCCGAUGAAAACAGAGCCAUGUCCAAGUUGCUCGCCCAAGAGAACAAGAUAAUGUCAAUGAACCGCAAUGACAUGGACGACCUCACCAAAACAUGGCAUGAUAUGGCAAGGAGAGAAAUCUUGAAGAGGAGAAUGGUUGUGUUGGCCGGUGCAUGUUAUACUUCCAGAGAUGUUUUCUCUGCUGGCAAUGUCGAUGAUUUCGGUGCAGGAGUUGGAACAAGCGCCGGAGGUGGAUUCGGUGGUGGUAAUGAACUUCAAGAUGGACUCGAUGGCGUGGAGUGAAGAUCGACCAAGAUGAUGCCGGACGUGGUCGUCACAUUUGCAAGACCCUCUUUUGCGUUUGUCCUACUAAACUGAGGCUUUUAUUUGCGCGUAAACUGUGUUAUGUUGUUUUAAUUUGAACUUAUUCGUGGGCACCAAUUUCAAAUUUGAGAAUUGGGCGUUUUCUGUUUGCGGGUCGACGCGGCGGUGGCCGUGCAGACACCGCAAAAGCCAACCCGUAAAAAAGUAUAUUCCACGAAUAUCCUUUUAUACAGGUCCGUUUGGGGGGUCUGCAUCUGCGGCCAUGCGAGCCAGCCCACAAAAGCCGUUUUCCACGAACUGCAAACGCGUUUUGUAGGCCGGCCGGAUGCGGGGUCUGGUAGAGUUGCUUGUCAGUACUUCAUAUGUUCAUAUCCAUAACCAAAAUAAUAGGUGCGGAUAAGCAUGUCUUAAUUAACCACCAUAAAAUGGGAUACUAAUAGGAUCCAGUUUAUCCCCUAUACUUAGCAAAACUAUAAAUUUAUACUAACGAACAAGAAUAAUAGUAAGUUGCGCGUCCACCCAUUUACCUGUUUAAUAUUUCAAUAAAUGUUAUUAAUUGAUUCCACUUAGUAUAACCAGAGCAUGGCUGCUAUAAAGCACCCAACCUGUAUAGAUCCAUUGCACAUCCACAAAGAUAGAAAGCUACAGAUACAACCGCCGGAAACACAACUCCUAAGUAAAACAAAAAUCUCCUACAUAACAUAGUUUUUCUACAAAUCAAGGAUGAAGACUGUCCAGGUGGUGCUCAUAUGCCUUGUCCUUUCGGUGCUCUGUUCAGGUAUUUUGCCAGUAUGUUUUUCUCCACCGCACUUGUAGGAAAUAUAUUUCGGCUUAUCCGUGCUCCUGCUCUCGAAACCCUGCAGGCAUCGCUGCUCGCUGUGCCCAGUACAACAUUUCCAAGGCAUGUCGAAGCAUAGCUUCAUGCACAGCACUGUGCACCUAUAAAUAUAAGGCGGACACGGUUUAUGGUGUAUGUGCUGAUAACGGAUGCUGGUGCGUAGUCUGCGUGAUACCACCUGCAGCUCAAUCUGCGUCUGCAGCCCAGAUUGCGCCUGCAGGGAAUUAAAGGAUAUCGCUUGCUUCCCUUUCUGCCUAAAUAGAAUAAAACAGUGUCUGAUUAAUGUAUUUUUCUCGUACCGACAACACUGUAUUGGUGUAUCAUGUAGCAAGGACCCGCGAGGCAAAAUAACAUCCUAUUAAUAUUGAGCGCUCUUUGGCGAAAUGCAUGAUUAAUCAAUUGGACACCGUAGAGGAUGUAUAAAUAUCCUUUCAUUGUGAGUGGCCAUGAAAAUAUGUUUGUGGAUUCUUUUUUUCUCUCCAUGUUGAGAACAUUACCAAACCAUCGGAACCGGUCCUCCAUGCAAGUUGCAUGUGGAUGGGAGAUUCACAGCCAAGAUAGUGAAUAAACAGCUCCAUAAGCAACCUUGUUCUGAUCUUGUCAAAACUAUCAAACCCAUCACUUCACGCCAUAAACCUGGCAAGCCGGUUCAAAUCUGGUCGAGAAGAAGCCCUUGGGUCAUCGAUGGUCGUCUGAAAGGCAACUUGAAUCACAAAGAGAGUGUCCCUGACGGACCUACAGGGUCUGCAGCGAUGAUCAUCAGCAUGGCAGAUCGAUCAUGAAAUGAAUGCUAAAGCGGCAAGCUAACAUUUGGAAAACGCUGGGUGAAGACAACAGAUGAAAAGUACCCACACGGAUAAUCCAUGCUAACCGAGGCCAGCAGCUACAUGCAUGGCCAGCACGUGACCUUGGUGCACUAGUAGAAAAAGGCCCAUUUGUCCCGGUUCCAGAGGCCCUUUUGUCCCGGUUUUGGAACCGGGACUAAAGGGUUGGGACUAAAGCCCAUGACCUUUUGUCCCGGUUCGCUUACGAACCGGGACGGAUGGGCCUCCAUGUGGCCUCUCCGCCGAGCCCAGGCAGGAGGGCCUUUGGUCCCGGUUCGUUACACCAACCGGGACCAAAAAGCGUCCACGUGUCAGGAGCUGGGGCCAGACAGCCCAUCUAAGGGGGGAGGUUGGGGGUUUUGGAGUCGUUAAUUGGGCCAGAUAGCCCGUCUAAGGAAGCAACAGGAGGCGGUCGACGGAGCCCAGUCGCACGAGUCUAUCCAGAACCAAGAUCCCAACCGUGGCAAGUGAGGAGGCGCGCGAGGAUCGAACACGAUGCCCUUCAGCCAAGGUUGCAAGGGAAGCCGAUCCAGCCGAAGAGGGAAUCCAGCGGACAUGCCGGAUGCGGAUGAAUCAGAGGCCCGGUCGAUCCGUCUAUGAAGUGGGGAGGGGGACGCGGGCAAUGAUGGUCGGCAACCCAUCUGCUGGGAACUGAUCGCAAUCGUACUUCAGUUUCUAAGAGCGCAUUCAUGACGAUUGUUGUGCCCAUCCUUUCCGCAGUCGAGUGGUACUUCUAUAUUGUUCCUCCCAUAACAAUCCUCGAUCACCCUCUCUACUCUGACAACACAAGCAUCUUUCAGCAUCAUGCUCUAGUAUUACUUAUGCAUGAUUCCUUAAGAUUCGUCAUUGUGGUUUACAAUCGUUCAUUAUUUUAGUUGUUCUUUCAGAUUCGUCAUUGUGCCCUACAUGAGUCUCUGUCAAAAUUUGCAUGUGUUAACUCUGUAUGUAGGUAUGCAAUUUGAUAUUUUAUAAUACUAACAUUUGUCCACUUUGUCCUAAAGUAGUUUUUGCUGCUUGGAGGUGAGCAGAGCGAAGGUAUCCCAUUAUCAUGAUUCAGAGGGCUCAUGUUAUUCUCUUUAUUGUCAAUGCAACCGAUUCCGGUUUAUAUCUCUUCUUGGAAUAAAAAAAUGCAUAUAUGAACCUGACUUCCUAUGUGGCUAUGUUCAAUCAACACAGCAGCAUGUUUUUGUUGGGCUGCAGACAUCCCCGUUCUACGACAGGUGAUACAUAGGGCAUUAGGAUUUUAGAAAAUUUGUAUACAGAAAUCUUUGGAAGUAAAACAUGUAAGUGUGGACAAGUAUGAAAGCAAUACAAAAGACUACAUUUUUAUUUUCAAGUUAUAAAGUGGAAUUCAUAUAUUACACAUGAAUGUUGUCUCCUAAAAGUGAAUAAUAACAAGACAUCCGUUCAUUCAAAUUAGUGAAUAUUUCUCAAGAUGGGUAAGAUUUACUUCCUCAGAUAGAGUGCAGUAUUGUUCAGGUACAUUUCAUUCUUUUGUACAUUGAAACCUAUUGUUGGUAUAUUCGAUAGCUAGACUGUGCACAUAAGUGUAAAGGCCAUUAGGUAUGUUGUUCAAGCUAUGUUGGUAUCUGUUUGAAGAUUAAUUCCAGUCGGAUAUGUUCCAUUGUCAUCUGACAUUUAAUAGUAAAAUAUACUAUUGAAAAUUAGUUAAAAUAUACAUUGAAUAGUUCAAAUAAAGAAAUGUCAUGUCAGAUAAGUUAAGCUGACUACAUAUUUGUCAAUGGCUUUCUCAAAGGUAGGUUUCAAAUCAGAUGUCAUUCAAAACUCAUCCUUGAAUUACCUGUAUACUUGAUUAACUGGACUACAUCAUGGAGUUGUCGUCUUUGAAGUUUGAUGAAAUAAGGCCCAUGGUUGUUUGCUUUCCACUCUUAAAUUGCCUUUAGUUUGAAAUAAGGCCCAUGGUUGAUUGCUUUCCACUCUUAAAUAGCCUUUAGUUUGAAAUAAGGCCCAUGGUUGUUUGCUUUCCACUCUUAAAUUGCCUUUUUGACAGCAACAAAAAACUAUACUAAUAGGAGUUUUGAUUUCCCUUCUUCCUGUACUUUUUCUAUAUCACAAAGAAUUGUUCAUGCCUUAUUUGUCCAUUUCAUGUUGACAUUUCAAGUUGACCAUUACGAGAGCAGCAUGAUUUUAUUUAUGAUUAUUGCUGUUGUAGAGGUGUUAAAUAUAUAAAGUAUGAAAGGUGUAAUUUCAUGAAAGUACAUUGUAAUAUCAGCUUCCUUUGCCUGAUUGAUGUUGCUUUACAGUCUUAUUUGUCGGCAUUUUGUUCGGCGAGUUAAUGCUUUUUACAUGCUGUGAGGUCAUAUAUGUUGCAGGCACAGAGCAGAAAAGAUUUUUCCAUAGACACAGAAGCAAUGCUCCGGCUGUAGCAUUAAUUACACACACUCCUAUUUCAUAGGCUGCUAUAUAAAUAUGUACAAAAGGAUUGCUAUAUCAAAUACAAGUUUAUGAUCAGUGCAUAUUAUCUUGCUUACAGUUAUCUACAUGGGUCUAGUUCCUUUUAAUAUCAAUAUUUGUCAUCAGAUUCUGAUAUACAUUGUUUCAGUCCAAAAUAUACAGGGUGCACAUUUUCUACAAUUAAUUUCGACUAAGACUUUCUUUUCUGUGUGGUAUGAUCACUUAUCAGUAAUUUGAUGGUUAUCUAUAUAUGUUGAAUUUUCAUAGCAUUUUAACCUCUGAUGUCAAUAUAUUUUCAUAAUAUAAAUUGUUCAAUUUCAUUUCCAAUGUAUUUUUACUCAUAUAUUUUUAUUAUUUCAUAAUAUGAAUGGUAUGACAAAUAUAUGAUUUAGUUUUUUGGAAAAAAAAUCUUGACUCAUGUAUUUUUCAAAAUUCCUUUCAUUCUUUUAAAAAUAGAUGGGCGCGGCAACACGCGCCAUUAAUGAUCUAGUCAUAAGUGAUGUCCCGACCAGAUUCUUUGAACGUCAAUGAUUUUACUUUUUGGCACGAUACUUUGGAGGUACGUAAAGCUAUAGAACAGCGAUGGAUCAACGUUGAGGUCAGGUAAAGAGGCGAUCUGUCCACUUCUUCUAGGGUGGCCGCUACGAUGGUGCCGGAGUUGAGUGAUGGGCAUUGGUAGUAUCUUUCUCAAGGGUUUCUUCAGCCGAGAUUGUAAUUUUCUUUCUCGACUAGCUAAGUGUAGUUUUUACAAUAACUAGGGUUGUCCUAUCUUUUUUGGUUCCGUCAAGUUGGUGUUUAAGUGGAUCCUAAUUUGAUAUUUAUUUUAUAAAUGAGACACACUGUCGGUGUCCAAACCGGCGGAUCUCGGGUAGGGGGUCCCGAACUGUGCGUCUAAGGCGGAUGGUAACAGGAAGCAGGGGACACGAUGUUUUCCCCAGGUUCGGGCCCUCUUGAUGGAGGUAAAACCCUACGUCCUGCUUGAUUUAUUCUUGAUGAUAUGAGUAUUACAAGAGUUGAUCUACCAUGAGAUCGGAGAGGCUAAACCCUAGAAGCUAGCCUAUGGUAUGAUUGUAUGUUGUCCUACGGACUAAAACCCUCCGGUUUAUAUAGACACCGGAGGGGGCUAGGGUUACACAAGGUCGGUUACAAAGGAGGAGAUAUACAUAUCCGUAUUGCCUAGCUUGCCUUCCACGCCAAGUAGAGUCCCAUCCGGACACGAGACGAAGUCUUCAAUCUUGUAUCUUCAUAGUCUAACAGUCUGGCCAAAGGAUAUAGUCCGGCUGUCCGGAGACCCCCUAAUCCAGGACUCCCUCAGUAGCCCCUGAACCAGGCUUCAAUGACGAUGAGUCCGGCGCGCAGUAUUGUCUUCGGCAUUGCAAGGCGGGUUCCUCCUCCGAAUACACGAGGGAAGAAUUUGAAUACAAGGAUAGUGUCCGACCCUGCAAAAUAAGUUCCACAUACCACCUAGAGAGAAUAAAAUUUCCACAAAUCUAAUCUGUUGACUUGUUUUGGCAACAUGACAUUAUGACAUGGCCUGGUGAUUAUUCGAACCAUUUCCUUUAACUAGCCCCGCACAUAAUGCGAGGCAGUUUUUUGACACGUCUUGUCAAAGCAGAGAUCGUGUCCCCCUUAUUACGGGAUCCUCGUCAAUAUGGGCGUGGGUAACCCAACCGCGCCUAGGACUCCUAGAUUUUAGGCAAGUCCCAAACGACCACGAGGAGGACGCUCGAUAUUCACCCUCUUUAUAAAGGGUCAAGGUUUUUACUUUUUUCCUCCCAUGCUCAAGCGAAUCCUUCCCCCGCCUCGAGUCCUAACACCCAAAGCCCAGGUCAGGUGCUUUGGACCUUCAAUCAUGUCCGGAUCCAGCCUCCAGGGGCGGUGGAUGCCCUCCUCCGUCACGGAAGAGGAUAUCAAGAAGUUGAGGGAGGCAAGAUACUUGACCGCCAAAGUCUCGCAUCGGCUGCCCACCCGAGGGCAGGUCGUCCCUACUCCCUAACCCAACGAAGAUGCUGUGUUCAUCUCCCACUUCCUCCGAGGACUAGGCCUCACUCUGGAUCCCUUCAUAAGGGGUUUGAUGUUCUAUUAUGGGCUUGAUUUCCACGAUCUAGCCCCGGAUUCCUUUCUCCACAUCUGGGCAUUUAUUGUCGUAUGUGAGGCCUUCCUCCGCAUUACCCCUCACUUCGGCAUGUGGCUCAAGACCUUUGAUGUGAAGCCGAAGACGGUCGAAGGGCAGUAUGCAGCGUGCGGAGGUGCAUUAAUAAGCAAGAUUGCCGGGGCUCCAUGGCCAAAAGGUUCCUUUCCAUAGGUGUCCGGAUUAUGGCAAAGGGAGUGGUUCUACAUCACCACUCCCAUAAGUGCCAAGUGGGUAGCUCCCCCCACCUUUCGCUCGGGCCCUCCACCAUAACUGAUGUCAUGGAUCAGCAGGGGGCUGAGCUGGGGUCUAGCCAAGGAUGUGCCCAUACUGCAGAGCCGCAUCCGGGAUCUCUUCGAGGGAGAUUUUAGUUUGGUUAUGGUAGUGCAAGUCAUGCUGGUUCAUCAAGUCCAGCCUUGCAAACGUCGGCCCCUCCAUUUAUGGGAAUUCAACGCAGAAGGACCGCGCGCUAUUCAGAAUUUCCUCGGCCUGACGCACAAGAAGAUGUACAAGUCGUUCUUCGGACCCCAGAUAGAGUGUCCGGACACCUCCGAGGACGUGGGCCUGAGCAGCAACUGCACCGCUGCCAAAGUAAGUAACCCUCUAGCCGAACACACUAUCUUUCUUUUAUCAUGACAUCAUUCUGAAGGAUCGCUCUUUGACCAGGACUGGAUAGCAAAGGCGAAGAUGAUCCGGUGUUCGGCUCCCCUUCCCGAAGGCUUGGACAAUCAGGUGCUGGAAUGCUCGAGCCAGCACCUUGUCUGGUGCCCGCAAAGGAAGAUGAAGGGGGGAAUAAAGAGGGCCAAAGCGGGCCUCCACCGCUAUCUGUUCCAACCGAGGGAACAAGCGCCUUCGUGAGGGAGGAUAGCCAAGAGAAGGAGUCUGACAUUCCUUCGCCCCGGGGGAGGAAGAGGACCACCAUUGAUGAUCCGGAAACCAAGGUUUCCAAACGGGAGAAAAAAACUCCACCAGAGGGUCCCGUCUCGGAGGGUGCUUUUGCCGCACAAAGUUCAUGCGGGGAUCAGCCCUCUAACGAGUCGUGAGUGAUCAAAAUUUACUUAAUGGUAGAGAUAUUCUACCUUACUUUCGAGGAAAAUAACCGAAGUGUUUAUCUUGCAGUUCGGAUCUUAGCCCUUCUCAACAGAGCUCUUCUUCAGGGGACCUUCUUUCGGAGAUGAUGGAGAGCAAAACGCCUCCCCUGGACUCCCUCGGUCAAGAAGCGGGCGACCUUGAAGUGUCGUCCCGGAGGGCCUCUCCGGAUCCGGUGAGGCCAGAAGAUAAUCCCAUAGUCACCCGAAGUCCCCAGCAUCCGGCUCUUGAAGAGGGAAGACAAAAGUGUCCGGCACCGUCUGGUAUGCGGUCGGACGUAAUGAGGGAUCUGCUAAAGCGAACAACCAUCUCGGAAGAACACCGUGUGUUGAUGGGUACGGUGAUGGAAAGGAUUUCAUCCGCCGAAAGCGGGUUGCAUGAUCCCUUUAUGAGUUUACUAACGGGCUUUGAGGUACAUAAAAUGAUAUACCUUUGUGAUAGUACCGCAGAUUUUUAGGUGUGCCCUGUGUAGAUAGUAGCCCCUGAGACUCUGUUUGUCACCAAGAACGGCGGCAAACAGAGGAUCGUAGUCCCAGGUAAUAACCAUACCGCCUUUAUGCGCAUGUAGUGGAAGCUCCGGUGGCUAGCCGGACUCAUGAGUUUGCCUAACUAAAGCGGCAACUGGAUGCGGCGGAUGCCGACAUCGAGCUUGUUAACAAGCGCCUUGACAAGUCAUAGGGUAAGAGAUAUUUUCUGGUGAAUGUCACCUAGUAAGAGCAGCGUGAUGCCAGUAUCUUUAAUAUUUUGUGACUGCAGAUGGAUCUGCCACCGUGGAGACCCUUCGGGCGGAACUUGCCCGAGCCAAAGAACAAGCAAGGACUAGUAAUGCGGCUGCUUUGAAGGCGGCCGAAGAGUUAAGAGCCGAGAAGGCCGCACAUUGUGAGAGCAAAGAGAAAAUUGUCAAGAUGGCUGUAAAGUUAAAAGACACUGCCGACCGUUGCUAGUUCCUUGAGGAAGAAAACCGAGCGAAGGCGACGGACCUUGAAAAGGCCACGAUGGCGACCAAAGACACCCGUUCUGCCAUGAGAGUGAAGGAGGAGCUGCGUGAAGCCUGUGACAUUGUGGCUGGGAAGCCCUUUUGCUGCGGAGGAAGUUCGGAGAUCCGUGGUAUGCCCCUCUGGAUCGGCUGUGGAGUUCGGAAGACGCAUAUCUAGACUUGGCGGCAAGCGCUAUCGAUGCGGCCGAAUACUUCCGAGAUCAAACGGAUCAGGAAGUGGACAAGCUGUUCUGGUCGCAGUUUAACAUUCCAGAGCGUCCGCUCCCAUUGACCGAUCAGCUAGCCGAAUGGGACAAACUCAAUAGGUUGUCCGGACUCGCCAUGAUGUCUGUCGUGGAUCAGCUGUGGCCGGGAAGGCCAAAGCCGAACAUUUAUUUUAGCCUGGUGCAGCAGUUCCUUGGUGCGGUGCCGCGCAUCAAUGCGAUGAAGAGGUCGGCGUGUAUAGAAGGCUCACGGAUGGCCCUUGCCCGUGUCAAAGCAUACUGGGCGGAGAUGGAUGCUACCAUUGUCGCGACGUAGGGUUCGGCCAUAGGCCGAGUGGCUGCCGAGCACUAUUUUGAAGAAGUUCUUGAGGGUGCUCGUUUGAUAGAGGCCAGUGCUCGAAGAAUAUUAUGUUUGAGUGACAUGUAUUCCCAUUGUAAAAACAAUGUUUUAUUAGUUUUAUCAAGGUUGUAUUUAUACUUUUCCCCGAAAGUAUUGUGAUGCCUCAUGUGCGGCCGUUGUAUGUAUACAUGUAUAUAACCUGAAAGGUUGUAGUCGUCGGCUUCAGCCCCCACACAUAUAAUGCAGGGGUGUUCGCAGAAGACGCGUAUUCACACUUAAUCCAACGUCUUGGUCCUAAUAAGGAGGUGAUAGCGCAGCGAACUAGGCAACCGGACUAUAAUACUUUAACACUUUCACUUAGCCAUAGGAGUUUGACAGUGGGGCUACUAUAUAGCCCUUGGUGGCACCGCACUCACCCAAGUUCGGAGUGCGUACAUGCCCGGCCGGGAAACGGCCCUUCGUUAAGGCAGAGGAAUUCUAGGAUUCCGAUAGAUCAUCGAGUGGUUGACCAGUCUCGCGCUAUAUCAUGACAGUCAGUUUUUGGCUUUCUCUACUGAGGUGCUCGUCCGGAUGAACCAGGGCACAAUCGCAGUAGUUCUCCUGGUGCCGCCUUAGCCGAUAGAGCGGAACGUAAGGCAGCAAAACACAGGAGCCGGGCAAACCAAACAUUUGACCCAAGACAUGAUUUGGAGCUGAUGCAUAUAAGGGCAAACUCGCGAUGUCGAACACUCCCUAAGGUAUUCGGUCUUUAUGGUGUAAACCGGGCCUAAACAGUGCCCUUUGUAAGAAGCCCCUAGUGUCCAGGUACGUGCAUUGUUCUGACGUGGCCACAUGCCAAGACGUCAGCAUCCUUCUCAAUUGUACUGAGAAUGUGAGGGAUGUGUAUCAACAAGAGAUAGUAAAAAAGGUUGACGCAGGGUCUUAAUCUAAAAAGAAUCCUUGGAACGGCUCCCUGCUGCACGUCCGCGCCUGUGUCUCCGUUGUGUCGUAUCCUGGACGGGUGUAGUACGAUUGUCAUCUGUAAAAGCGAGGAACUUGGGUGAAAAGUUGUCGUGCAAAGAGGUGGGUUUAAAGAAACCAUUUACAGUUCAAGAUGAAUAAAAAUUGCCACUUGUCUAUGCACGUUGAGCCCCUUGUAUUUGUAAUAGGGGUGUGGCCAUCAAACCUGUAUGAAUUUCAUAUAGCUGCGCCAGACUCGUCUAACCAUGUCCGUGGUCUUGACGACCUAUCAAAUUCUUUAGUUGGUGAGGCCGUUUUAGUGUGUGGCUGCCCAGGCAGCCGCACUCUCUUCGGCAUGCAGGGAUCGCUCAAUAUUUCCAUUUACUAUAAUGAUGCCACGUGGACCGGGCAUCUUAAGUGUGAGGGAAGCGUAAUGCGAUAUUGCAUUAAAGCGAGCGAAACCUUCGUGUCGAAGUAGUGCUUUAUAGCCACUUUGGAACAGAGCAAUGUGGAAGGUUAAAUUUUCGCUACGGAAGUUAUCGGGGAAGCCGAAUAUAACCUCUAGUAGCAGGGAGCCCGUGCAAUGAGCCCCUGGGCCUGGCGUUACUCCUCUAAAGGUAGUAUUGUUGUGGCAAAUUUUUGUUGGGUCUAUCCCCAUUUUGCGGAUUGUGUCCUGAUAUAUCAGGUUUAAACUGCUGCCGCCGUCCAUCAGGACUCGUGUGAAGUGGUAUCCGUCAAUUAUUGGUUCUAAUACCAAGGCAGCCCACCCUGCGUUUCGGAUACUUGCUGAGUAAUCCUGAUGGUCGAAGGUGAUCGGUUGAGAUGGCCAGUGGCAGAACUCCGCGGUGAUAGGCCCUUGGGCAUGUUUUUCUGGGAGUGCCGCUUUGCUUCUCCCCUUUAUCACGUGUAACACGUUUACUGUUUUGACUUCUGGUGGAAAUUUCUUCUAUUCCCCAGUGUUUUGCUUGCGAGGCUCAUCCUCGUCUUCGCUUGGUGGAUCCUGCCCCUUAUGUUCGGCGUUGAGCUUGCCGGACUACUAGAAGACCCAACAUUCUCUAUGGGUAUGAUUUGCAGGUUUAUCGGGGGUGCUAUGGAUCUGACAUAUUUGGUCCAUAAUUUUGUUUAAGUUGGACAGUUCAUCUCUGGUGCCUUUAAAGGGCGGCUUUUGCUGACCUGGCUGAGAGCUUCUGAACCCGGCGUUUACCGCCGUGCUCUUCGGGUUGUCUUCUUUAUUCCGGCGCUUAUUAUUUUUGCUGCGUCGUGAUUUCCCGUUUCCAUCUCUAACUUCAGAUGUACUUGGGUCGCUGGUGCUGCAUCGGGCUAGCUAGUUGUCCUCGCCCGCGCAAUGGCGGGUCAUGAGGCUUGUUAAUGAUGCCAUUGUUCUUGGCUUUUCUUAGCCGAGGUGCCUGGCAAGCCAUUCGUCUCGGACGCUAUGCUUAAAGGCUGUCAAGGCUUCGGCGUCUGGACAGUCGACUAUUUGGUUCUUUUUAGUAAGAAACUGAAGGAAAUAUGCCCUAGAGGCAAUAAUAAAGUUAUUAUUUAUUUCCUUAUAUCAUGAUAAAUGUUUAUUAUUCAUGCUAGAAUUGUAUUAACCGGAAACAUAAUACAUGUGUGAAUAUAUAGACAAACAGAGUGUCACUAGUAUGCCUCUACUUGACUAGCUCGUUAAUCAAAGAUGGUUAUGUUUCCUAACCAUGGACAAAGAGUUGUUAUUUGAUUAAUGGGAUCACAUCAUUAGAUGAAUGAUCUGAUUGACAUGACCCAUUCCAUUAGCUUAGCACCCGAUCGUUUAGUAUGUUGCUAUUGCUUUCUUCAUGACUUAUACAUGUUCCUAUGACUAUGAGAUUAUGCAACUCCCGUUUGCCGGAGGAACACUUUGUGUGUUACCAAACGUCACAACAUAACUGGGUGAUUAUAAAGGUGCUCUACAGGUGUCUCCAAAGGUACAUGUUGGGUUGGCGUAUUUCGAGAUUAGGAUUUGUCACUCCGAUUGUCGGAGAGGUAUCUCUGGGCCCUCUCGGUAAUGCACAUCACAUAAUCCCUGCAAGCAUUGCAACUAAUGAGUUAGUUGUGAGAUGAUGUAUUACGGAACGAGUAAAGAGACUUGCCGGUAACGAGAUUGAACUAGGUAUUGAGAUACCACGAUCGAAUCUCGGGCAAGUAACAUACCGAUGACAAAGGGAACAACGUAUGUUGUUAUGCGGUCUGACCGAUAAAAGAUCUUCGUAGAAUAUGUAGGAGCCAAUAUGAGCAUCCAGGUUCCGCUGUUGGUUAUUGACCGGAGACAUGUCUCAGUCAUGUCUACAUUGUUCUCGAACCCAUAGGGUCCGCACGCUUAUGGUUUCGAUGACAGUUAUAUUAUGAGUUUAUGCAUUUUGAUGUAUCGAAGUUUGUUCGGAGUCCCGGAUGUGAUCACGGACAUGACGAGGAGUCUCGAAAUGGUCGAGAGAUAAAGAUUGAUAUAUUGGAAGCCUAUAUUUGGAUGUCGGGAUGAAAUCGGGAUUUUACCGGAGUACCAGGAGGUUACCGGAAACCCCGGGGAGUUAUAUGGGCCUUAGUGGGCUUUAGUGGAAGAGAGGAGAGGUGGCCAGGGCUGGGCCGCGCGCCCCUCCCCCCUAGUCCAAAUAGGACAAGGAGAAGGGGGUGGCGCCCCCCCCCCCCUUCCUUCUCUCUCUCCUCUUUCCCCUUCCCGAAUCCUAUUCCAACUAGGAAAGGGGGGAAUCCUACUCCCGGUGGGAGUAGGACUCCUCCUGGCGCGCCCUCCUCCUGGCCGGCCGCACCCCCCCCCCUUGAUCCUUUAUAUACGGGGGCAAGGGGCACCCCUAGACACACAAGUUGAUCCGGGUGAUCAUAUUUUUAACCGUGUGCGGUGCCCCCUUCCACCAUAGUACUCGAUAAUAUUGUAGCGAUGAUUAGGCGAAGCCCUGCGAUAGUAGUACAUCAAGAUCGUCACCACGCCGUCGUGCUGAGGGAACUCUUCCCCGACACUUUGUUGGAUCGUAGUCCGCGGAUCAUCAUCGAGCUGAACGUGUGCUAGAACUCGGAGGUGCCAUAGUUUUGGUGCUUGAUCGGUCGGGCCGUGAAGACGUACGACUACAUCAACCGCGUUGUGCUAACGCUUCCGCUGUCGGUCUACAAGGGUACGUAGAUGACACUCUCCCCUCUCGUUGCUAUGCAUCACCAUGAUCUUGCGUGUGCGUAGGAAUUUUUUUGAAAUUACCACGUUCCCCUACAGUGGCAUCCGAGCCUAGGUUUUAUGUGUUGAUGUUAUAUGCACGAGUAGAACACAAGUGAGUUGUGGGCGACAUAAGUCAUACUGCUUACCAGCAUGUCAUACUUUGUUUCGGCGGUAUUGUUGGACGAAGCGGCCCAGACCGACAUUACGCGUACGCUUACGCGAGACCGGUUCUCCCGACGUGCUUUGCACAAAGGUGGCUAGCGGGUGACAGUUUCUCCAACUUUAGUUGAACCAAGUGUGGCUGCGCCCGGUCCUUGCGAAGGUUAAAACAGCACCAACUUGACAAACUAUCAUUGUGGUUUUGAUGCAUAGGUAAGAUUGGUUCUUGCUUAAGCCCGUAGCAGCCACGUAAAAAAUUGCAACAACAAAGUAGAGGACGUCUAACUUGUUUUUGCAGGGCAUGUUGUGAUGUGAUAUGGUCAAGACAUGAUGCUAAAUUUUAUUGUAUGAGAUGAUCAUGUUUUGUAACCGAAUUAUCGGCAACUGGCAGGAGCCAUAUGGUUGUCGCUUUAUUGUAUGCAAUGCAAUCGUGCUGUAAUGCUUUACUUUAUCACUAAGCGGUAGCGAUAGUCGUGGAAGCAUAAGAUUGGCGAGAUGACAACGAUACUACGAUGGAGAUCAAGGUGUCGCACCAGUGACGAUGGUGAUCACGACGGUGCUUCGAAGAUGGAGAUCACAAGCACAAGAUGAUGAUGGCCAUAUCAUAUCACUUAUAUUUGAUUGCAUGUGAUGUUUAUCUUUUAUGCAUCUUAUCUUGCUUUGAUUGACGGUAGCAUUAUAAGAUGAUCUCUCACUAAUUAUCAAGAAGUGUUCUCCCUGAGUAUGCACCGUUGCGAAAGUUCUUCGUGCUGAGACACCACGUGAUGAUCGGGUGUGAUAGGCUCUACGUUCAAAUACAACGGGUGCAAAACAGUUGCACACGCAGAAUACCCAGGUUAUACUUGACGAGCCAAGCAUAUACAGACAUGGCCUCGGAACACGGAGACCAAAAGGUCGAGCGUGAAUCAUAUAGUAGAUAUGAUCAACAUAGUGAUAUUCACCAAUGAAACUACUCCAUCUCAUGUGAUGAUCGGACAUGGUUUAGUUGAUUUGGAUCACGUAAUCACAUAGAGGAUUAGAGGGAUGUCUGUCUAAGUGGGAGUUCUUUAAGUAAUAUGAUUAAUUGAUCCUAAAUUUAUCAUGAACUUAGUACCUGAUAGUAUCUUGCUUAUGUAUGUUUGAUUGUAGAUAGAUGGCCCGUGCUGUUGUUCUGUUGAAUUUUAAUGCAUUCCUUGAGAAAGCAAAGUUGAAAGAUGAUGGUAGGAAUUACACGAACUGGGUCCGUAACUUGAGGAUUAUCCUCAUUGCUGCACAGAAGAAUUACGUCCUGGAAGCACCGCUGGGUGCCAGGCCUGCUGCUGGAGCAACACCAGAUGUUAUGAACGUCUGGCAGAGCAAAGCUGAUGACUACUCGAUAGUUCAGUGUGCCAUGCUUUAUGGCUUAGAAUCGGGACUUCAACGAUGUUUUGAACGUCAUGGAGCAUAUGAGAUGUUCUAGGAGUUGAAGUUAAUAUUUCAAGGAAAUUCCCAGAUUGAGAGAUAUGAAGUCUCCAAUAAAUUCUAUAGCUGCAAGAUGGAGGAGAACAGUUUUGUCAGUGAGCAUACACUCAAAAUGUCUGGGUAUAAUAAUCACUUGAUUCAAUUGGGAGUUAAUCUUCCAGAUGAUUGCGUCAUUGACAGGAUUCUCCAAUCACUGCCACCAAGCUACAAGAGUUUCGUGAUGAACUAUAAUAUGCAAGGGAUGAAUAAGACUAUUCCCGAGCUCUUCGCAAUGCUGAAAGCUGCGGAGGUAGAAAUCAAGAAGGAGCAUCAAGUGUUGAUGGUCAACAAGACCACUAGUUUCAAGAAAAAGGGCAAAGGGAAGAAGAAGGGGAACUUCAAAAGGAACAGCAAGCAAGUUGCUACUCAAGAGAAGAAACCCAAACCUGGACCUAAGCCUGAAACUGAGUGCUUCUACUGCAAGCAGACUGGUCACUGGAAGCGGAACUGCCCCAAGUAUUUGGCGGAUAAGAAGGAUGGCAAGGUGAACAAAGGUAUAUGUGAUAUACAUGUUAUUGAUGUGUACCUUAAUAAUGCUCGCAGUAGAACCUGGGUAUUUGAUACUAGUUCUGUUGCUAAUAUUUGCAACUCGAAACAGGGACUACAGAUUAAGCGAAGAUUGGCUAAGGACGAGGUGGCGAUGCGCGUAGGAAACGGUUCCAAAGUCGAUGUGAUCGCAGUCGGCACGCUACCUCUACAUCUACCUUCGGGAUUAGUAUUAGACCUAAAUAAUUGUUAUUUGGUGCCAGCGUUAAGCAUGAACAUUAUAUCUAGAUCUUGUUUGAUGCGAGACGGUUAUUCAUUUAAAUCAAAGAAUAAUGGUUGUUCUAUUUACAUGAGUAAAAUCUUUAUGGUCAUGCACCAUUAAGGAGUGGUCUAUUCUUAUUAAAUCUUGAUAGUAGUGACACACAUAUUCAUAGUGUUGAAGCCAAAAGAUGCAGAGUUGAUAAUGAUAGUGCAACUUAUUUGUGGCACUACCGUUUGGGUCAUAUCGGUAUAAAGCGCAUGAAGAAACUCCAUACUGAUGGGCUUUUGGAACCACUUGAUUAUGAAUCACUUGGUACUUGCGAACCGUGCCUUAUGGGUAAGAUGACAAAAACACCGUUCUCCGGUUCUAUGGAGAGAGCAACAGAUUUGUUGGAAAUCAUACAUACAGAUGUAUGUGGUCCGACGAAUAUUGAGGCUCGUGGCAGAUAUCGUUAUUUUCUCACCUUCACAGAUGACUUAAGCAGAUAUGGGUAUAUCUACUUAAUGAAACACAAGCCUGAAACGUUUGAAAAGUUCAAAGAAUUUCAGAGUGAAGUUGAAAAUCAUCGUAACAAGAAAAUAAAAUUCCUACGAUCUGAUCGUGGAGGAGAAUAUUUGAGUUACGAGUUUGGUGUACAUUUGAAACAAUGUGGAAUAGUUUCGCAACUCACGCCACCCGGAACACCACAGCGUAAUGGUGUGUCCGAACGUCGUAAUCGUACUUUACUAGAUAUGGUGCGAUCUAUGACGUCUCUUACUGAUUUACCGCUAUCAUUUUGGGGAUACGCUCUAGAGACGGCCACAUUCACGUUAAAUAGGGCACCAUUAAAAUCCGUUGAGACGACGCCUUAUGAACUGUGGUUUGGCAAGAAACCAAAGUUGUCGUUUCUGAUAGUUUGGGGUUGCGAUGCUUAUGUGAAAAAGCUUCAACCUGAUAAGCUCGAACCUAAAUCAGAGAAAUGUGUCUUCAUAGGAUAUCCAAAGGAAACUAUUGGAUACACCUUCUAUCACAGAUCCGAAGGCAAGACUUUUGUUGCUAAAUUCGGAAACUUUCUGGAGAAGGAGUUUCUCUCGAAAGAAGUGAGUGGGAGGAAAGUAGAACUUGACGAGGUAACUGUACCUACUCCCUUAUUGGAAAGUAGUACAUCACAGAAACCUGUUUCUACGACACCUACACCAAUUAGUGAGGAAGCUAAUGAUAAUGAUCAUGAAACUUCAGAACAAGAUACUACGGAACCUCGUAGAUCAACCAGAAUGAGAUCCGCGCCAGAGUGGUACGGUAAUCCUGUUCUGGAAGUCAUGCUACUAGAUCAUGAUGAACCUACAAACUAUGAAGAAGCGAUGGUGAGUCCAGAUUCCGCAAAAUGGCUUGAAGCCAUGAAAUCUGAUAUGGGAUCCAUGUAUGAGAACAAAGUAUGGACUUUGGUUGACUUGCCAAAUGAUCGGCAAGCAAUUGAGAAUAAAUGGAUCUUCAAGAAGAAGACUGACGCUGACGGUAAUAUUACUGUCUACAAAGCUCGACUUGUCGCAAAAGGUUUUCGGCAAGUUCAAGGGAUUGACUACGAUGAGACCUUCUCACCCGUAGCGAUGCUUAAGUUUGUCCGAAUCAUGUUAGCAAUUGCCGCAUUUUAUGAUUAUGAAAUUUGGCAGAUGGAUGUCAAAACUGCAUUCCUGAAUGGAUUUCUGGAAGAAGAGUUGUAUAUGAUGCAACCAGAAGGUUUUGUCGAUCCAAAGGGAGCUAACAAAGUGUGCAAGCUCCAGCGAUCCAUUUAUGGACUAGUGCAAGCCUCUCGGAGUUGGAAUAAAUGCUUUGAUAGUGUGAUCAAAGCAUUUGGUUUUAUACAGACUUUUGGAGAAGCCUGUAUUUACAAGAAAGUGAGUGGGAGCUCUGUAGCAUUUCUGAUAUUAUAUGUGGAUGACAUAUUACUAAUUGGAAAUGAUAUAGAAUUUCUGGAUAGCUUAAAGGGAUACUUGAAUAAGAGUUUUUCAAUGAAAGACCUCAGUGAAGCUGCUUACAUAUUAGGCAUUAAGAUCUAUAGAGAUAGAACAAGAUGCUUAGUUGGACUUUCAUAAAGCACAUACCUUGACAAAGUUUUGAAGAAGUUCAAAAUGGAUCAAGCAAAGAAAGGGUUCUUGCCUGUGUUACAAGGUGUGAAGUUGAGUAAGACUCAAUGCCCGACCACUGCAGAAGAUAGAGAGAAAAUGAAAGAUGUUCCCUAUGCUUCAGCCAUAGGCUCUAUCAUGUAUGCAAUGUUGUGUACCAGACCUGAUGUGUGCCUUGCUAUAAGUCUAGCAGGGAGGUACCAAAGUAAUCCAGGGGUGGAUCACUGGACAGUGGUCAAGAACAUACUGAAAUACCUGAAGAGGAAUAAGGAUAUGUUUCUCAUUUAUGGAGGUGACAAUACUGGUGCAAUUGCCUUGGCAAAGGAAUCCAGAUUCCCCAAGAGAACCAAGCACAUCAAGAGACGCUUCAAUUCCAUCCGGGAUCUAGUCCAGGUGGGAGACAUAGAGAUUUGCAAGAUACAUACGGAUCUGAAUGUAGCAGACCCGUUGACUAAGCCUCUUCCACGAGCAAAACAUGAUCAGCACCAAGGCUCCAUGGGUGUUAGAAUCAUUACUGUGUAAUCUAGAUUAUUGACUCUAGUGCAAGUGGGAGACUGAAGGAAAUAUGCCCUAGAGGCAAUAAUAAAGUUAUUAUUUAUUUCCUUAUAUCAUAAUAAAUGUUUAUUAUUCAUGCUAGAAUUGUAUUAACCGGAAACAUAAUACAUGUGUGAAUAUAUAGACAAACAGAGUGUCACUAGUAUGCCUCUACUUGACUAGCUCGUUAAUCAAAGAUGGUUAUGUUUCCUAACCAUGGACAAAGAGUUGUUAUUUGAUUAACGGGAUCACAUCAUUAGAUGAAUGAUCUGAUUGACAUGACCCAUUCCAUUAGCUUAGCACCCGAUCGUUUAGUAUGUUGCUAUUGCUUUCUUCAUGACUUAUACAUGUUCCUAUGACUAUGAGAUUAUGCAACUCCCGUUUGCCGGAGGAACACUUUGUGUGUUACCAAACGUCACAACGUAACUGGGUGAUCAUUAAGGUGCUCUACAGGUGUCUCCAAAGGUACAUGUUGGGUUGGCGUAUUUCGAGAUUAGGAUUUGUCACUCCGAUUGUCGGAGAGGUAUCUCUGGGCCCUCUCAGUAAUGCACAUCACAUAAGCCUUGCAAGCAUUGCAACUAAUGAGUUAGUUGUGAGAUGUUGUAUUACGGAAUGAGUAAAGAGACUUGCCGGUAACGAGAUUGAACUAGGUAUUGAGAUACCGACGAUCGAAUCUCGGGCAAGUAACAUACUGAUGACAAAGGGAACAACGUAUGUUGUUAUGCAGUCUGACCGAUAAAAGAUCUUCGUAGAAUAUGUAGGAGCCAAUAUGAGCAUCCAGGUUCCGCUAUUGGUUAUUGACUGGAGACAUGUCUCGGUCAUGUCUACAUUGUUCUCGAACCCGUAGGGUCCGCACGCUUAAGGUUUCGAUGACAGUUAUAUUAUGAGUUUAUGCAUUUUGAUGUAUCGAAGUUUGUUCAGAGUCCCGGAUGUGAUCACAUACAUGACGAGGAGUCUCGAAAUGGUCGAGACAUAAAGAUUGAUAUAUUGGAAGCCUAUAUUUGGAUGUCGGAAGUGUUCCGGAUGAAAUCGGGAUUUUACCGGAGUACCGGGAGGUUACCAGAACCCCCCGGGAGGUAUAUGGGCCUUAGUGGGCUUUAGUGGAAGAGAGGAGAGGUGGCCAGGGCUGGGCCGCGCGCCCCUCCCCCUAGUCCGAAUAGGACAAGGAGAAGGAGGCGGCGCCCCCCCCCCUCCUUCCUUCUCUCUCUCCUCUUUCCCCCUUCCCGAAUCUUAUUCCAACUAGGAAAGGGUUGAAUCCUACUACUGGUGGGAGUAGGACUCCUCCUGGCGCGCCCUCCUCCUGGCCGGCUGCACCCCCCCUCGAUCCUUUAUAUACGGGGGCAAGGGGCACCCCUAGACACACAAGUUGAUCCAGGUGAUCAUAUUCUUAACCGUGUGCGGUGCCCCCUUCCACCAUAGUACUCGAUAAUAUUGUAGCGGUGCUUAGGCGAAGCCCUGCGACAGUAGUACAUCAAGAUCGUCACCAUGCCGUCGUGUUGAUGGAACUCUUCCCCGACACUUUGCUGGAUCGGAGUCCGAGGAUCGUCAUCGAGCUGAACGUGUGCUAGAACUCGGAGGUGCGGUAGUUUCGGUGCUUGAUCGGUCGGGCCGUGAAGACGGACGACUACAUCAACCGCGUUGUGCUAACGCAUCCGCUGUCGGUCUACAAGGGUAUGUAGAUGACACUCUCACCUCUCGUUGCUAUGCAUCACCAUGAUCUUGCGUGUGCGUAGGAAAUUUUUUUAAAUUACCACGUUCCCCUACAGAAACCUCUUCCAAAGCUUUCGGGCUGACUCUCCGGGCAGUUGAGUUAUAUGACUUAAAUCGUCUGCAUCCGGUGCUCAGACAUAUGUCCCUUGAAAAUUUGCCUGAAAGGCAUCUUCGAGCUCUUCAUAGCUUCCAAUGGAGCAUUCGGGGAGGCUUUUAAGCCACUGCCGAGUGCGAUAAGUGGAAGUUGAUCGAGUAAGAAUCCCCACAGAAGAGAGGAUCACUUACAAACAUGGAUGAUGAUGAGGAUGAUGAUGGCCCAAGAAAUUUGAACAAGCCCGAUGGCGACAAGAAGACUAAGGAGAAGAUGAAGAGAGAGCAUGAAGCAUCGAGCUUGAGGGAGAAGAUUGAUGCCAUGGUGUAAUCAAAUGAGUUGAUGUUGUUGAAGUCGUUGGAGAUCAAGAAAGAGUUGGCCAAGAAGAAGGCAAAGGAGAAGCAAGAAAAGUGGCAAUUGCUCAAGGAAGAGGGGCUGCACAAAGCGGCCAUUGAGGAUAGAAGAGCACGUGCCGAUGAAAACAAAGCCAUGCCCAAGUUGCUCGCCGAAGAGAACAAGAUCAUGUCAAUGAACCGCAAUGACAUGGACGACCUCACCAAAACAUGGCAUGAUAUGGCAAGGAGAGAAAUCUUGAAGAGGAGAAUGGUUGUGUCGGCCAGUGCGUGUUACAGUUCCGAAGAUGUUUUCUCUGCUGGCAAUGUUGAUGAUUUCGGUGCGGGAGUUGGAAUAAGUGCCGGAGAUGGAUUCAGUGGUGGUGAUGAACUUUAAGAUGGACUCGAUGGCGUGGAGUGAAGAUCGACCAAGAUGAUGCCGGACGUGGUUGUCACAUUUGCAAGACCCUCUUUUGCGUUUGUCCUACUAAACUGAGGCUUUUAUUUGCGUGUAAACUGUGUUAUGUUGUUUGAAUUUGAACUUAUUUGUAGGCACCAAUGUCAAAUUUGAGAAUUGGGCGUUUUCUGUUUGCGGGUCGACGCGACGGUGCCCGUGCAGACACCGCAAAAGCCAACCCGUAAAAAAGUAUAUUCCCCGAAUAUCCUUUUAUACGGGUCCGUUUGGGGGGUCUGCAUCUGCGGCCGUGCGAGCCAGCCCGCAAAAGCCGUUUUCCACGAACUGCAAACGCGUUUUGCGGGCUGGCCGGAUGCGGGGUCUGGUAGAGUUGCUUGUCAGUACUUAAUCUGUUCAUAUCCAUAACCAAAAUAAUAGGUGCAGAUAAGCAUAUCUUAAUUAACCACCAUAAAAUGGGAUACUAAUAGGAUCCAGUGUAUCCCCUAUACUUAGCAAAACUAUAAAUUUAUACUAACAAACUAGAAUAAUAAUAAGCUUCGCGUCCACCCAUUUACCUGUUUUAAUGUUUCAAUAUAUGUUAUUAAUUGAUUCCACUUAGUAUAACCAGAGCAUGGCUGCUAUAAAGCACCCAACCUGUAUAGAUCUAUUGCACAUCCACAAAGAUAGAAAGCUACAGAUACAACCGCCGGAAACACAACUCCUAAGUAAACAAAAACUUCCUACAUAACAUAGUUUUUCUACAAAUCAGGGAUGAAGACUAUCCAGGUGGUGCUCAUAUGCCUUGUCCUUUCGGUGCUCUGUUCAGGUAUGUUUUUCUCCACCGCACUUGUAGGAAAUAUAUUUCGGCUUAUCCGUGCUCCUGCUCUCGGAACCCCGCAGGCAUCGCUGCUCGCUGUGCCCAGUACAACGUCUCCAAGGCAUGUCUAAGCAUAGCUUCAUGCACAGCAGUGUGCACCUAUAAAUAUAAGCCGGACACGGUUUAUGGUGUAUGUGCUGAUAACGGAUGCUGGUGCGUAGUCUGCGUGAUACCACCUGCAGCUCAACCUGCGUUUGCAGCCGAGAUUGCGCCUGCGGGGAAUUAAAGGAUAUCGCUUGCUUCCCUUUCUGCCUAAAUAGAAUAAAAGAGUGUCUGAUUAAUGUAUUUUUCUCGUACCGACAACAUUGUAUCGGUGUAUCAUGUAGCAAGGACCCGCGAGGCAAAAUAACAUCCUAUUAAUAUUGAGCGCUCUUUGG
This 28807-nucleotide long non-coding RNA is filed under the name Triticum aestivum (bread wheat). RNAcentral's name for it is "long non-coding RNA (TAES_LNC026402)". Lineage: Eukaryota; Viridiplantae; Streptophyta; Magnoliopsida; Poales; Poaceae. The record is from RNAcentral.